RNAcentral lists this transfer RNA (85 nucleotides) under Polyangium jinanense. RNAcentral's name for it is "tRNA-Leu". It matches the Rfam family "tRNA". Rfam says of the family: Transfer RNA (tRNA) molecules are approximately 80 nucleotides in length. Their secondary structure includes four short double-helical elements and three loops (D, anti-codon, and T loops). Lineage: Bacteria; Pseudomonadati; Myxococcota; Polyangiales; Polyangiaceae. The record is from RNAcentral.
GUCGUCGUGACGGAAUGGCAUACGUGACAGGCUGAGGUCCUGUGCCCGAAAGGGUAUGUGGGUUCGAGUCCCACCGACGACACCA